UGCAAUGCCAAUUGCGCCAUCCGACAAACAUCUUUCUCUUCUUGCACCACCACAUCCUGGUGAUGGUGCAACUGUAUACGUGUCUGUACCUAUGUUGCAAUAACUAACCCUAAGUAUAAAAGCCCACGCUCUGCCUCAUCCCGGCAGAGUGAUCCCGGCAGUGUACUCCCCAACAAGUGGUAAAUACAAGUUUCCUUAUAAUCUACUCAGUGUUUAUGUGUUAGUGUUAGUUCAGUAUAAGUGUAACUUCAGUGUAAGUGCAUAUUGUGAUCCAAUUAUCACACUGUCAUCUUGCCUAAACAUGUUCCAGUUUUUUGGGGGCCAAGUAAAAAAGUAAAAGAAAUUCAAAACAGAGAAUGUAUACAAACGAUAUAAAUUCCAUAAUAGAGGAAUAUGGGGCUUUCCCUAAACUGCAAAAGCGAAAGUCGAAACGUGAAACGCCUAAAAAAAGAAACAGCUUGCCAAACGGACCAAACUGUUGGGACCCUGUUUCGCAUUUUAGUUGUUGUUACCGUGCUAAACUUUGGUGGCGCGAAACAUCAUGACAUGAGAACUUCCUUGUAACAGACGAUGACGCCAUAAACAAACUUAAAGUCACUAAAAGCGCCCUUGAGAUAAGUUUAUCUUAGUUUCUUUUUUUUAAAUAAAUUAAUUAAAGGAUAUUAAAGUCUCGUGUAUUUAUUUAAAGUAUUACUACUCUCUCAGAAAUAUGUCGGUAGUUUUACCGAGUAAAAUCUCGGUAAUAAACGUCCAGACAAUAUUUUGUCGGGAUUUUUUGUAUCAAGAUUUAAAAUCGCUACCAUUGUCGAUUAGCGCCUUUCUGUUUUUGCUUUCCCGUUUUCAGACCGGAUAUACUCGCCCCUCUCAUUUUUUUGUCCCAAGUUCUAUCUGGGUUUUAAUGCCUACUCAGGGUUAGAGAGGGAGAGAUCCGAAAACUAAAUUUCCACCCACUCCCGAUCCUAAGAUUUUAAAAUUAUAUUUUCUUUUCUCUUCUACUCCGUUCCUCUCUUACUUUACAUAUCCAAUUGUUGUUUUAACCAUUUUGUGGGGAUUGAAAAAAGUAUCAAGAAAAAUCGAAAUCCUGUAAAAAUUAAACCAUAGUUAGUAAGGGGGGGGGGAUAUUGAUAUAGCUGGUAUAAUAAUAGGCAGACGUAGUUUUAUCUUGCUUUAUAAAACGAUGAAGGCAGUUUAAAUGACCUAAUUUGACCUAACAUAACGCUGUCUACAUUUUUUACUUCGAAUUUAUUUACCCCAUUAAAUUUAUUUACCCAUAAUUAAUUCCCCCUUUUACCCUGUGUUGUGUACUUAAUCUAUGUUUAGUUGUCUUCCUUUUUCCAUUUCUUUAAUCAACCGCCGGCCAAAAGAGGAAAGGCGACAAUUUUAAUUUGUAUGCCUCUUUUUUUCUUCAUCAAUACCACAAUUGAUUAUCGGUAUUCUUAAAGUAGGUUUUUUUGGAAAAAAAUUAUCAAACAACGACAUCUAUCUCGGCAAUAUUUUACCGAGAUUUGAUCUCAGAAUUUUUUAACGACAUAUUUCAUGGGUAGUAAUUUCAUGUGAUUCGCAUUUAGUAUUCUGACACCGCCAUGCUUCCUGAACGUAAGUAACUUCCUCGGUUUAACAAUCUUAUUUUAUGAUCUGCCGAGUCUCGUUCGUAUGAAUUUGCCAAUUUGACGAUUUCAAUUUAUUAUUGAUUCCUCAUCUGAUUUUUAAUAUAUUGUUUCCAUGCUUUCACCUUUUUUGCUAACUAAUCUAUGCUUUUUUAUUUAAAUAAUGCAGUCAUGAUUGAUGUGACUUCAUGAAACCAGGAGUCCGGUGCGGAGGAUAAUGCGUCAAUAGACCAUUGCGACAGUGGCACAAAAUUAGCCAUACUAUAGAGGGACUUGGCAACGCAUAGUAGACAGCUUGUGUGAAUCAAAUCAAAACAAAAAUAAGUCAGUAAUAAAAAGAGUUUGAUUUCAGAAUUAAACUAAUGUCGCAGUAAUUAUCAGGAGUUAGUCUACUUUGCCAAACAAAACAAAAACCCCUUCUUCAUGAUUAUAAAGUGGAUUUCGCUAUUCAAGUAUUCAGGCAACGUGGAAAGUUCUGCUAGUAUGGAGCUCUAAAUGCUUCCCUCAAUCAUCAAAGAUUUUUACGAGAUUACACAUGUGAAAAGAAGUCAAACCCAUUUCGAUGCCGAAGAACUGUCGAAAAAUGGAUAUUCCAGCACCCUCAGUUUAUACACCAAAGAAAAGGAAGUGUCAGUGCGAGCAAAGGUCUCUCUAAUUUGGAGAGCACAUCAAUGUCAACCAAGUCUUGAGCCAAACUGAUUGGUUGACACAACUACUCGACGUGGAAGUUCAAGGUGGCCAUGUUGUGCAGCUGAAAGGUUCAUUGGAAACUCCCCCUACAGCAGUUCCUAUGCAGCCUUUCAAGAGCAAGAAAACUGAAAUCCUGUGAAGAAUUCAUCAGAAAAAGCAAAUAAAGAGGAGCUGUUAGUUGCUGAGCCAAUCGGUGUAACCUUGGUUCAGAUAAACCCCCCUAAGUGUUGAAGAUGAUUCUACUGUUACGAAGACGGAAGAUACUGCUAGCUGAUUAAGAAACCGACGAAGAAGAAAGUCUUGUCUCGUUAUGUGGAGUCAUUGAGCACAGCGGUCGGCUCAGUAGUUACCACAACACAGCUUUCUUAUAAGUAAAACCAGUAACAUCGCAUCCAUUAACCCAGCUUCAAAUGUCGCUUAAUACAA
Molecule: long non-coding RNA, 2723 nt
Organism: Daphnia pulicaria
Lineage: Eukaryota; Metazoa; Arthropoda; Branchiopoda; Diplostraca; Daphniidae
Exons: 4
Source: RefSeq, a predicted model, not a curated record